This 492-nucleotide ribosomal RNA is filed under the name uncultured bacterium. Its description in RNAcentral is "partial 16S ribosomal RNA". It matches the Rfam family "Bacterial small subunit ribosomal RNA", at positions 28 to 507 of the family's 1533-position model. The record is from RNAcentral.
GAUGAACGCUAGCUAUAGGCUUAACACAUGCAAGUCGAGGGGAAACGGCAUUAUGUGCUUGCACAUUUUGGACGUCGACCGGCGCACGGGUGAGUAUCGCGUAUCCAACCUGCCCUUUACUUGGGGAUACCCCGUUGAAAGACGGCCUAAUACCCGAUGUAAUUCAUUGAUGGCAUCAGAUAUGAAUAAAAGAUUUAUCGGUAAAGGAUGGGGAUGCGUCUGAUUAGCUUGUUGGUGAGGUAACGGCUCACCAAGGCGACGAUCAGUAGGGGUUCUGAGAGGAAGGUCCCCCACAUUGGAACUGAGACACGGUCCAAACUCCUACGGGAGGAAGCAGUGAGGAAUAUUGGUCAAUGGGCGCAAGCCUGAACCAGCCAAGUAGCGUGCAGGAAGACGGCCCUAUGGGUUGUAAACUGCUUUUAUACGAGAAUAAUUUGAUGCACGUGUGCGUUAUUGCAUGUAUCGUAUGAAUAAGGACCGGCUAAUUCCGUG